Molecule: unclassified non-coding RNA, 352 nt
Filed under: soil metagenome
Description: partial contains 5.8S ribosomal RNA, internal transcribed spacer 2, and large subunit ribosomal RNA
Rfam family: 5.8S ribosomal RNA (bases 1-120)
Source: RNAcentral
GAUGAAGAACGUAGUGAAAUGCGAUAACUAGUGUGAAUUGCAGAAUUCCGUGAAUCAUCGAAUCUUUGAACGCACAUUGCGCCCGCCAGUAUUCUGGCGGGCAUGCCUGUUCGAGCGUCAUUACAACCCUCAGGCCCCCGGGCCUGGCGUUGGGGAUCGGCGGAGCCCCCCGUGGGCACACGCCGUCCCCCAAAUGCAGUGGCGGUCCCGCCGCAGCUUCCAUCGCGUAGUAGCUAACACCUCGCGACUGGAGAGCGGCGCGGCCACGCCGUAAAACACCCAACUCUUCUGAAGUUGACCUCGAAUCAGGUAGGAAUACCCGCUGAACUUAAGCAUAUCAAUAAGCGGAGGA